AGGAGUUUGAUCCUGGGCUCAGGACGAACGCUGGCGGCGUGCUUAACACAUGCAAGUCGAACGAGGGCCCGGAGCUUGCUCUGGUGACCCGAGUGGCGGACGGGUGAGUAACACGUGACCAACCUACCUUCGGGAGGGGGACAACCUGGGGAAACCCGGGCUAAUACCGCAUAUCGUCCACGGGCCGCAUGGCCUGUGGAUAAAAGGGAGCCUCUGCUUGCAAGCUCUCACCCGAAGAGGGGGUCGCGGCGUAUCAGCUAGUUGGUGGGGUAAUGGCCUACCAAGGCAACGACGCGUAGCGGGUCUGAGAGGACGACCCGUCACAUUGGGACUGAGAUACGGCCCAGACUCCUACGGGAGGCAGCAGUGGGGAAUAUUGCGCAAUGGCCGAAAGGUUGACGCAGCGACGCCGCGUGUGGGAGGACGCCCUUCGGGGUGUAAACCACUGUCAGGGGGGAAGAACUUCGUAGGUGUGAAUAGCGCCUGCGGUUGACGGUACCCCCAGAGGAAGCGCCGGCUAACUCCGUGCCAGCAGCCGCGGUAAGACGGAGGGCGCAAGCGUUGUUCGGAAUUACUGGGCGUAAAGGGCAGGUAGGUGGUCUGUUAAGUCUUCUGUGAAAACCCGGGGCUCACCCCGCGGAAUGCAGGUGAAACUGGCAGACUUGAGACCGGUAGAGGCUAGCGGAAUUCCUGGUGUAGCGGUGGAAUGCGUAGAUAUCAGGAAGAACACCUGUGGCGAAGGCGGCUAGCUGGGCCGGUUCUGACACUGAACUGCGAAAGCGUGGGGAGCAAACAGGAUUA
Molecule: ribosomal RNA, 801 nt
Filed under: uncultured bacterium
Lineage: Bacteria
Description: bacterial SSU rRNA
Rfam family: Bacterial small subunit ribosomal RNA
Source: RNAcentral